RNAcentral lists this ribosomal RNA (253 nucleotides) under uncultured bacterium. RNAcentral describes it as "partial 16S ribosomal RNA". It matches the Rfam family "Bacterial small subunit ribosomal RNA", at positions 524 to 776 of the family's 1533-position model. The record is from RNAcentral.
UACGUAGGGUGCAAGCGUUAAUCGGAAUUACUGGGCGUAAAGCGUGCGCAGGCGGCUUUGCAAGACAGAUGUGAAAUCCCCGGGCUCAACCUGGGAACUGCAUUUGUGACUGGCGGGCUAGAGUAUGGCAGAGGGGGGUAGAAUUCCACGUGUAGCAGUGAAAUGCGUAGAGAUGUGGAGGAAUACCGAUGGCGAAGGCAGCCCCCUGGGCCAAUACUGACGCUCAUGCACGAAAGCGUGGGGAGCAAACAGG